AUAAGAAGUGAGGAAAGUCCGGGCUCCACCGGAAAAAAUGCCUGGUAAUAACAGGGCAAAAAACGGUAGUUGUAAUUCAUUGCAUAACCCGUUUUUUGACAGAAAGUGCCACAGAAAAAAUACCGCCAGCAAUGGUAAGGGUGCAAAGGCGAGGUAAGAGCUCACCGCGGCUCUGGUAACAGAACCGGCAAGGUAAACCUCAUUUGGAGCAAAGUCAAGUAGUGGUCUGGUUUUCCGGACCUGGGGCCACGGGUAGACUGCUAAAGGCUUCUGGUAACAGAAGUUUCGGAUAGAUGGUUAUGCGUUUCAGGAACUUUUUAGUUUUUUGAAACAGGACAGAACCCGGCUUAUUUUCUUUUC
Molecule: RNase P RNA, 360 nt
Filed under: uncultured Treponema sp.
Lineage: Bacteria; Pseudomonadati; Spirochaetota; Spirochaetia; Treponematales; Treponemataceae
Description: Bacterial RNase P class A
Rfam family: Bacterial RNase P class A
About the family: Ribonuclease P (RNase P) is a ubiquitous endoribonuclease, found in archaea, bacteria and eukarya as well as chloroplasts and mitochondria. Its best characterised activity is the generation of mature 5'-ends of tRNAs by cleaving the 5'-leader elements of precursor-tRNAs.
Source: RNAcentral